RNAcentral lists this long non-coding RNA (418 nucleotides) under Androctonus crassicauda. The record is from RNAcentral. Lineage: Eukaryota; Metazoa; Arthropoda; Arachnida; Scorpiones; Buthidae.
CAUCGGUCGACAUCAUCCCUAUGGUGGCCCGUCGGUCGACAUCGUCCCUAUGGUGGCCCACCUGUCUGGUGCGGACAGUGGGCUGCAUUGGAGAUUGAAUUGGGGGAGAUUCUCGCCCUUUUCAUAUCCACGAUGGGGACUUUUUAGUCCCAAUGACCAAGAAGAUUACGUUUUCCAUCACUCAAAACUUGUAAAGUUAGUGGAUGUGGAGGAUUCGGAGAUCCUAUCUAUCAGACCCUCCGUGGAUGGCCGCAUCUUUGGCGGUUCUGCCUGACUUUUCGGUAAUCUACAGGUUAUCCGUCGUAGUAGUGAGUACGUUUCAUCCCUCUGGGGACCACCACUAGUGUAGAACAGCCUCUAGUCGUCUCGAUCCUUUACGGACGAGAUGGAAGGUGGUAGUGACAUCACCAUACACAGC